UACGUAGGGUGCAAGCGUUAAUCGGAAUUACUGGGCGUAAAGCGUGCGCAGGCGGUUUUGUAAGUCUGACGUGAAAUCCCCGGGCUCAACCUGGGAAUUGCAAUGGAGACUGCAAGGCUUGAAUCUGGCAGAGGGGGGUAGAAUUCCACGUGUAGCAGUGAAAUGCGUAGAGAUGUGGAGGAACACCGAUGGCGAAGGCAGCCCCCUAGGUCAAGAUUGACGCUCAUGCACGAAAGCGUGGGGAGCAAACAGG
Molecule: ribosomal RNA, 253 nt
Filed under: uncultured bacterium
Lineage: Bacteria
Description: partial 16S ribosomal RNA
Rfam family: Bacterial small subunit ribosomal RNA
Source: RNAcentral